GGCCUAACACAUGCAAGUCGAGCGGUAGAGAGAAGCUUGCUUCUCUUGAGAGCGGCGGACGGGUGAGUUAUGCCUAGGAAUCUGCCUGGUAGUGGGGGAUAACGUUCGGAAACGGACGCUAAUACCGCAUACGUCCUACGGGAGAAAGCAGGGGACCUUCGGGCCUUGCGCUAUCAGAUGAGCCUAGGUCGGAUUAGCUAGUUGGUGGGGUAAUGGCUCACCAAGGCGACGAUCCGUAACUGGUCUGAGAGGAUGAUCAGUCACACUGGAACUGAGACACGGUCCAGACUCCUACGGGAGGCAGCAGUGGGGAAUAUUGGACAAUGGGCGAAAGCCUGAUCCAGCCAUGCCGCGUGUGUGAAGAAGGUCUUCGGAUUGUAAAGCACUUUAAGUUGGGAGGAAGGGCCGUUACCUAAUACGUGAUGGUUUUGACGUUACCGACAGAAUAAGCACCGGCUAACUCUGUGCCAGCAGCCGCGGUAAUACAGAGGGUGCAAGCGUUAAUCGGAAUUACUGGGCGUAAAGCGCGCGUAGGUGGUUUGUUAAGUUGGAUGUGAAAUCCCCGGGCUCAACCUGGGAACUGCAUUCAAAACUGACUGACUAGAGUAUGGUAGAGGGUGGUGGAAUUUCCUGUGUAGCGGUGAAAUGCGUAGAUAUAGGAAGGAACACCAGUGGCGAAGGCGACCACCUGGACUGAUACUGACACUGAGGUGCGAAAGCGUGGGGAGCAAACAGGAUUAGAUACCCUGGUAGUCCACGCCGUAAACGAUGUCAACUAGCCGUUGGGAGCCUUGAGCUCUUAGUGGCGCAGCUAACGCAUUAAGUUGACCGCCUGGGGAGUACGCCGCAGGUUAAAACUCAAUGAAUUGACGGGGGCCCGC
This 881-nucleotide ribosomal RNA is filed under the name Pseudomonas marginalis. RNAcentral's name for it is "bacterial SSU rRNA". It matches the Rfam family "Bacterial small subunit ribosomal RNA", at positions 45 to 924 of the family's 1533-position model. Lineage: Bacteria; Pseudomonadati; Pseudomonadota; Gammaproteobacteria; Pseudomonadales; Pseudomonadaceae. The record is from RNAcentral.